AGAAUGCGUAUGAGCAAAUUGUAAGGGCGUCGUUGGAAGGCGAUAGAGAGAUGUGUGCAUUCACAUACUUGAGGAUGAAUACUGAGUUGUUUGAAGAAGAAAAUUGGAGAAGGUUUGUGGGAUUUGUGCAUAAGAUGAAAGGAAGGAAGAAUGGGCAUAGAAGUUGGGAAGAAAAGAAGAAGCAGCAAGUUGAAAAGCUUGUGCCUAAUCUACAAAGUCAGACUAAUUUGGUUCAAAGAGUUUAGUUUUAUUAGGUUAGGUUUUAGCUUCCCACAUAUGGAAACAUUAAGUCACCUCUACAAAUUCCACCACUAUUCUUUUAAAUUUUU
This 329-nucleotide unclassified non-coding RNA is filed under the name Hevea brasiliensis (rubber tree). The record is from RNAcentral. Lineage: Eukaryota; Viridiplantae; Streptophyta; Magnoliopsida; Malpighiales; Euphorbiaceae.